AAGAAAAAAGGGCCCAGGGCCCAUCUCCCACCUUAACUAUAAAAGGAGAUGGUUAAAGGGCUAAUUCCUAUCUCAUUCAUAUGGCAGCAUAACUGCCAGCAACAUAUCGUGUAAGCCAGCGAAAGAAAACAAAAUUUUCAAUCUCCAAUUAUUUUUUUAAAGCAAGACAAGCUCAAGGGUUUGAUCAGGAGAUUCUUUCGAGUUUAAGAGAACGCAGGUGACAGUGAGUAUUUUGUAAGCUAGAGGAUUCGAGUGGCAUAUACCUGGUUUAGACGUGCUGGUUCCUAACUGCACUUAGCCAAAUUCAGCCAGCAGUAGCAGAUUUAGCAGUUUAGACGUGUUGGUUCCUAACUGCACUUAGCCAAAUUCAGCCAGCAGGAGCAGAUUUAGCAAGAACGUAGGUGACGAUGAGGAUUUUGUUAGCUAGAGGAUUCAAGUGAUAUAUUUAUGGUUUGGACACUCAAUUUCCCAACAGUAUUUAGACAAUCUAGCGCUUCAGCAGUAGCGGCAUUGAUUCGGACACUCAGUUUCUCAAUCUUCCUUAGAUAGUCCAGCGCUUCAGCAGCAUCAGCAGUGAUCCUGGUUUGAAUGCACCUCAUGGUGGUUGAUUUUGGACAAUAUGUGAAGCUAUUUAAGUCGGCCUAUGAUACCUACUAAGUACAUGUGGACCGUAGUUACUUCUACUGCGCCUCUUUGGUGCAGAUCUUUGUAUGAGAACUUUCCAUAGCGGCUAAUUUUUCUUGAAGACUUCCAGAGUUUGAGAUGGUGAGGACUAGAUCUCAAGAGGCUGGGGAUUUUGAUCCAUCAUUCAAGGAUGGAUCCCAUCCUAAAGGGAGAGGCAAGGGUCAUGGAUGACCCAAAGUUAGAGGACAGGCAUGAAUAACUGCUCCAGCUAAAGGACAUGCUAGGGAGGCCUCUCACAAGCUUGAGUUUGUGUAUUCUAGGGAUGAUUAUCAAAUAGCGGAUGUGAAGUGAGCUAAGGUUCCACAGGGUUUAGUUGAUACCCCAGUACUUCAGGGUCUCUUGGUUUGCCUCUUGACUCAUUUGAAGAGUAUUCCCUUGAGUGCAAUUAGUUUUUCUCUUAUUUGAAGUAUUUUACCAUCGUUAGUUUUGGUGUCUACUGAUGGCAUUCCUCUGACUCCUAGUGUGGUUAUGUCAUUUGUAUCGACAUCAAAUUAUGGAAUUCCUUAGACUUUGAGUGGUGCACCACCUUUUGUGCUGGUAUUAGAUUAUGGUAUUCCUAGUCAAGCGUUCAAGC
This is a long non-coding RNA of Capsicum annuum, 1258 nucleotides long. RefSeq lists it as uncharacterized. Lineage: Eukaryota; Viridiplantae; Streptophyta; Magnoliopsida; Solanales; Solanaceae. The transcript is spliced from 10 exons. The record is from RefSeq and is a predicted model, not a curated record.